Molecule: long non-coding RNA, 8399 nt
Filed under: Homo sapiens (human)
Lineage: Eukaryota; Metazoa; Chordata; Mammalia; Primates; Hominidae
Description: non-protein coding NEXN-AS1:3
Source: RNAcentral
GAAAGGAUUUCUUAACUGGCACUGCUGGCAGAGACGGAGACCGCGGCUGGGGCAAGUGGUGGGGGACGGCACUGAACUUCCCUAAGGACCCCAAGGGUUCAGCCGAGGGAUCGGCACCCACUCCGCUCACAGAGGGCUCCCUCCCUACAGUAGGGAACGCACCCGAAACUCAGCCGACAAGGCGCAGGGGAGCAGGGCAAAGACAUUGCAACCAGAAGCCCAAGGCCGGCCGACACUUUCAGACCCUGGGGCAGCCCCUGGUAGGCACCCCGCCGAGCCCGCAGGAUGCGGCUCCAAGGCAGGGUUCGCCCGGGCCGGGGCCAGCGCGGACCACAGCUGUAUGGCGCCCGGCGCCCUCCGGAGCUGCAGCGGAGCACGGCCAGAAGCCGCAGACCCCGAGCGCCUCUCUGCAGCCGCCGUUCCCGCCCCCGCCCCCACCAGGGGACCCGACACCUCCGUCUCCACUCCCCCCAGCCCACGUUCCCCCAACUCUUCUCACCCUGCAGGAGCCGGUGACCGGCGAAGCCGCUGGGAGUCCUCUGGCUGCCGCUGCCGCCGCCGCCGCCGCCGUCUCCAGCAGCAAGUUUCCAUAAAAGUCCUGGUGUGCAGCCUGUUCCCGCAUUCCAGGCGGGCCCAGCGCCGGCUGCAGCUGUUCCAAAACACAAGGCCAGUUCCCCCAACCCCCCACCUCCGCCGUUAUCACCCGGAGUGGGGGUGGAGAGUUGAGGAGAAAAGCAGGGGAGGGGGACCGUGGCUGCCAACUUUCCGCCAGAAUUUGUCUGUCUCCCGGCCCUAGGUGCGCGAGCUGACCCCCUAACUUUGGGCCUGCCUCCACCUCCAGCCAGGCCUGGGGAAGGAAGGCUGCCUCCGCCAUGGGAAAGGAAUGAGGCUGAAAUGGGCUUCAUUACCGGGCUGAAGCUGGCUCCCCCUACCCGCAACCAGUUUGCUCUGGGGCCCACUUCUCUCAGCUACUCUACCCGUCCUAGUUUCCAGUCAAGAAGCCAAGCCACUACAUAUCUUCUACUACCCUAAGCAUUGACCUUUGGCCAAGUUUUCCUUUAUUACAAAGAGCGUGGGGCAGCAAUCCGGGAACACUUCAUCUGUCUAUUGCUCCCCUGUUCUUAGCUCCAGUCUUUAACUCUAAAAGGAGAGUUAAAAAAGAAGAAGAAGAAGAAGAAGAAGAAGAAGAAGAAGAAGAAGAAGAAGAAGAAGAAGAAGAAGAAGAAGAAGAAGAAGAAGAAGAAGAAGAAGAAGAAAGUUGAAGGCAGAGGAGGAGGAGGAGAAGAAAAGAAGGAAUAUAUUUAUAUAAGUACAAAUAUCUUUAUAUUCCACCUUUUUCUUAAUUGAAGGCAAACCAUAUCUGGUCUUUCUAAAGCUUCAUAAAGGCAUCUUUGACUAUUAGACACCCACAGACCUUUUUCAACUUGGACCGCCAGCCUGUCAAACCCAUCAGACAAUACCAUAUUAAAACCCGAAAUGCACACUCGGAGUAUUUUUGGUGGACGAGAUCUUUAAUUCUUCACUGCACUUGAAAAAAAAAUCGAAAUGACAUCCAGAUAAAGAAUAAAGGUAACCACUUCCACCUUCAGGCCCUAAGCAGACAGCGGUGCUCAGGUUAUAUUUCAGGGAUGUUGAAAAGGCCUUCUGGGCUGGGCGCGGUGGCUCAUGCCUGUGAUCCCCGCACUUUGGGAGGCCGAGGCGGGUGGAUCACUUGAGGUCAGGAAUUCAAGACCAGCCUGACCAACAUGGCAAAAGGCCGUCUUUACUAAAAAUACAAAAAAUUAGCCUAGUGUGGAGGCACACACCUGUAAUCUGAGUUACUCAGGAGGCUGAGGCAGGAGAAUCACUUGAAGCCAGGAGGCGGAGGUUGCAGUGAGCAGAGAUCAUCCCACUGCACUCCAGUCUGGGUGACAAAAUGAGACUCUGUCUCCAAAAAAAAAAAAAAAGGCCGGGCGCGGUGGCUCCUGCCUGUAAUCCCAGCACUUUGGGAGGCCAAGGCGGGUGGAUCACCUGAGGUCAGGAGUUUGCGACCAGCCUGGCCAACAUGGUGAAACUCUAUCUCUACUAAAAAUGCAAAAAAUUAGCCGGGCGUGGUGACGUGCGCCUGUGAUCCCAGCUACCUGGGAGGCUGAGGUUGAAGAACCCACUUCGCUUGAACCCGGGAGGCUGAGGUUGCUGUGAGCUGAGAUGGCGCCAUUGCACUCCAGCGUGAGCAACAAGAGUGAAACUCCCUCUCUCUCUCUGUUUCUCUCUCUCUCACACCCGUACACACAAAAGGCCUUCUACUCAAAUAUAACUCUGUUCCCCAGUCCCAUCCCCACAGUAUUUACUCAGGAUGGAAACUUUUCUAAGGAGGGUAAGCCAUUCAUUCCUCGAUUACAGAAAAGUUCAAAAUUGGUAAUUAAAAUUAUUUAAAUGUACCGAACUACGGAUAGUGAUAGGUGGUCUUGGUAGUCUUGCUUGUGCCCUUGCUCUCUUUGAUGCCAUCACCUUGGCCUUCUUCAGUUCAUGAAACUUUCUAUGGGCAGUCUGGCUGCAGGGCCUUUGUAUAAGUUGUUCCCUGCAUGAAAUCCUUUCUCCCACUUUCCCCUUCACCUAACUUCAACAUAUCCUCCCGAUCUCUUCUUAAAUGCUGCUUCCUCGGAGAAGGCUUCCUUGCAUCCCACCUUUCUCCCCACCUUGCACCUCACCUUUCAUCCCACCUUUCUCUUCCCUAUAUAUAUAUAUUCCUAUUUAUUUGCUUAUUUAUUUAUUUAUUUAUUUAUUUAUUUAUUUAUUUAUUUGGAGAUGUAGUCUCGCUCCGUCGCCCAGGCUGGAGUGCAGUGGCACGAUCUCAGCUCACUGCAACCUCCGCUUCCCCAGUUCAAUCGAUUCUCCUGACUCAAAAGUAGCUGGGAUUACAGGCGCGUGCCACCACACCUGGCUACUUUUUGUAUUUUUAGUGGAGAUGGGGUUUCACCAUGUUGGCCAGGCUGGUCUUGAACUCCUGCCCUCAAGUGAUCCACCCACCUCGGCCUCGCAAAGUGCUGGGAUUACAGGUGUGAGCCACUGUGCCCUGCCCCUAUACAUAUCAAUUUAUAAUUACAUAUUUAUUUCUGUGAUUUAAAGAAGUGAGUUGGCUGAGCAUGGUGUCUCACGCCUGUAAUCCCAGCACUUUGGGAGGCUGAAGCGGGUGGAUCACUUGAGGUCAGGAGUUCGAGACCAGCCUGGCCAACAUGGCGAAAUCCUGUCUCUACUAAAAAUAUAAAAAUUAGCUGAGUGUGGUAGCGUGCACCUGUAGUCCCAGCUACUCGGGAGGCUGAGGCAGGAGAAUUGCUUGAAACCAGGAGGUGGAGGUUGCAGUGAGCCGAGAUCAUGCCACUGCACUCCAGUCUGGGCGACAGAGUGAGACUCUGUCUCAAAAAAUAAUAAAUAAAUAAAUAACUAGAAACUUAACAAUUUUUUAUUUUUAUAUCCACCCAAUAGAUUCACCAGAUUAAACAAAGCUCUCCAUUCUCUCUGUAGAACACUGAUAGCUACUCACAGCAUGCAAGGCCUGCUUAUUUUCCCACCAAUUCAUCAUUCAUUCAUUCAACAGAUAUUCAGUUCUAUAUGCUAAGGAUACAGCAGUGAUAAAGGAAAAAUCCCUGCCAUUAUGGAACAUACAUUCUAGUGAAAGAAGGCAGACAAUAAGCAAAUAAGUGAACUAUGUAGUAUUUAGUGACAUGUAAUAUGGCAAUAUGGAUAAUACCAGAGCAGGGAAGUAGAGAAUGCUGGAGGCAGGCUGAGUAGAUGUUGUAAUUUUAGAUAGAGUGGCUAAGGAAAGCCUCAUAUGAGUAAAAGCCUUGAGGAGAGUGAGGCAGUAGGCUAUGUAAAUAUCUGGAGAAGCAAAUAUUUGGAGGAAGAGUGGUCCAGGGAUAGAUACAAAGGCCCAGAGAAGGAUUCUAUCUGACAUGUUCUAGGAAGAACCAGGAGGCUUGUGCGAGUGAAGCUGAGUAGGUGAAGGGUGAGGUAAUAGGAGGUGCAGUGGGGAGCAGGAGACAAGACUACGUAGGAUUUUGUUUGUUUGAGAAUAAGUCUCGCUCUGUCGCCCAGGCUGGAGUGCAGUAGCAUAAACUCUGCUCACUGCAACCUCCGCCUCCUGGGUUCAAGCGAUUCUCUUCCCUCAGACUCCCGAGUAGCUGGGAUUACAGGCACCUGUCACCAUGCCCGGCUAAUUUCUGUAUUUUUAGUAGAGAUGGGGUUUCACCAUAUUGGCCAGGCUGGUCUCAAACUCCUGACCUCAGGUGAUCCGUCUACCUCGGCCUCCUAAAGUGUUGGGAUUACAGGCGUAAACCAACAUGCCUGGCCUUUUUUUUUUUUUUUAGAGACCCAGGCUGGAGUGCAGUGGUGGAAUCACAGCUCACCGCAGCCUCUAACUUCUGGGCUCAAGCGAUCCUCCUGCCACAGCUUCUCUGAGUAGCUGGGACUACAGGCAUGCAACAACACACCUGGCUAAUUUUUUAGUUUUUGUAGAAAUGGGGUCUUAUUAUGUUGCCUGGGUUGGUCUCAAACUCCUGGGCUUAAGCAUCCUCCCACUUCGGCCUCCCAGAGAGUAGGGAUAAUAGGCAUGAGCCAUUGUGCCCAGCCUCUUUUUGUACAGCAUUGUAAAGAUUUUGGUUUUUACUCUAACAUGGGUGGUCUCUGGUAGGUUUUGAACAACAUAGUGACAUGAUCUGACAUGUUUACUCUCUCUAGCUUAAGUGCUGCACAUACACCAAAUGAGGCAAGAGAAGAAGCAGGGAGAUCAAUUAAUUAGGAGGCUUCCACAAUAAUCGGAAUGAGGAAUGGGGAUUUGGGCCAAAGUGAUAGUUGUGAAGGUAGUGAGAAAUACCUGGCAUAUUUUUUUUUCCUUGUUGCCUUUUUAGGUAGAAAUGGUAGGAUUUUUUUUUUUUUUUUUUUUGUAACUGAAUGUGAGGUGUGAGGAAAGGAGGUUUUGGGCCUUUGAUCUGGAAGAAUGGAGUUGUAAUUUACUCAGAUAGGGAAGGUUGUGGGAAGAGGAGGUUUAGGCAGGGGUGGUAAGGAGCUCAGUUUUGACAUGCUAAGUUUGAGAUUACUAAAAAUCCAAGAUCUGCCCAUUUGUAUAAGCAUUACUUGUAUACUUAUCACGAGUGAUUAGGUUUGUUCUAUGUCAGUUGCACGGUUUUGAAAUUAUACAAAGUAAACAUUUAAAAAAUGAAAUUAUAGGCCAGACAUGGUGGCUCACACCUGUAAGCCCAGUGCUGUGGGAGGCCAAGGUAGGCAGAUCACCUGAGGUCAGGAGUUCGAGACCAGCCUGGCCAUGAUGGCGAAACCCCGUCUACUAAAAAUACAAAAAUUAGCCGGGCAUGGUGGUACGUGCCUGUAAUCCCAGCUACUCAGGAGGCUGAGGCAGGAGAAUCGCUUGAACCCAGGAGGCGGAGGCUGCAGUGAGCCCAGAUCGUGCCAAAAAAAAAAAUAAAGAAAGAAAUUAUAAAAGCAAAAAUAAAGUUAUAGUUUUUUAUAAAAGCUGAGUUGAAUGCUUUGAAAAGACUUGAUAAAGGCAAAUAGCUUACAAAAAUUACCACCAAGCUAGGUGUGGAGAAGACAAAUGUAAAAGAUUGGGUACAAAAUUGUACAAAUCUAGGGAGAUUCUGCAGUCAGUGCUUUUUAAUGUACCUUUUCUCUCCUUUAAAAGUAAGGAAAACUCGAAAUUCCAGAUGAUGAUUUAGGGCAGGGGCCCCCAAACCCCAGGCUGCACAGCAGGAGGUGAGGACUGGCGAGUGAGCAUUACCACCUGAGCUCUGCCUCCUGUCAGAUCAACGAUGGCAUUAGAUUCUCAUAGGAGCGCAAACCCUAUUAUGAACUGUGCAUGUAAGGGAUCUAGGUUGUGCACUCCUUAGGAGAAUCUAAUCCCUGAUGAUCUGUGAUGGACCAGUUUCAUCCCAAAACUAUCCACCACAGCCACCCCCGAACCGUCCAUGGAAAAAUUGUCUUCCCCAAAACUGGCCCCUGGUGCCAAAAAGGUUGGAGACCACUGAUUUAGCGGUUUAGUUUAUGUAACAAAGAUAUCUUGAAAUAUCGAGUGAAUCCAUACUCCCAACUAAAGGCCUUGAUACUAUAUCAAAAGAUUGGCCAAAGAAAGUACAUUCAUUCAUUUAACAUUAAAAUGUCAACCAGGCAUGGUAGCUCAAGCCUGUAAUCCCAGAACUUUGGGAGGCUGAGGUGGGAGGAUCACUUGAGGACAGGAGUUCAAGACCAGCCUGGGAAACAUACCAAGACUUCCUCUCUACUAAACAAUAAAAAUAAUCCAGGUGUGGUGGCAUGUGGCUGUAGCCCCAGCUACUCAGGAGGCUGAGGCAGAAGAAUCACUUGAGCCCAGGAGUUAGAAGUUGCAGUGAGAACCACUGCACUCCAGCCUGGGUAAGGGAGAGAGAAAAACCUUAUCUCCUAAAAAAAAAAAAAAAAAAAAAAAAAAAGUAAUUUGUCUACAUCAUUAUGUAUAAUUUAUUAUGAUUCCCUGCCAUGGUAUCCAGCCACCAAGACAACCCCAAAUGUUCCACCUCUUGGUACUCGCAUCCUGUGUAAUCCCCUCCCACAUUGUGUCAGUGUUGGUCUGUGUUACCAAUGGCAGAAGUGGCAACACUUCCACAUCUAGGUUAUAAAAGACAUUGUGUCUUUUACCUUGCUAUUUCUUGGAUUAUUUAUCUGGGAGGAAGCCAGCUGCCACGUCUUUUUUUUUUUUUUUUUUCUGUAGAGACAGGGUCUCAUUUUGUGGCCAGGCUGGUUUCACACUUACAGGCUCAAACAAACAUUCCUCCUGCCUCAGCCUCCCAAAGCGCUGGGAUUACAGGCAUGAGCCACCAUGCUCAUGCCUUAAAAGACAUGCUGGCCAGCUGUCAUGUCUUAAAAGACACUCAGGCAGCUGAGAGGUCUAGUUGGUAGGAACUAAGGUCUCUUGCCAAUGGCAAGGGACUGAGGCCUCCUGAAAACAGACAUGUGAAUGAGAAAACCUUAGAAGUGAGUCUUCCAGCCCCAAUCAGGCCUUCAGAUGACUGCAACUUCAGGAGAGAACCACCAGACUAAGCCAUUCCUGAAUUCCCAGCCCUCAGAAACUGUGUAAGAUCAUGUUUGUUGUUUCGAGCUGCUAAAAUUUUAGGAUAAUUUGUUGUAACAGAUUGUGAAUAUAAUUGCUUUAACAUUUAUUAUCCAUCUUCAUCUUCUACCACAUUAUUUUAUUGGUCCUUUGUAAAACUCCUGGGGCCAUUCUUUUUCUUUCUUUUUUUUUUUAAAGAUGGAUUCUCGCUCUGUUGCCCAGGCUGGAGUGCAAUGGCGUGAUCUCAGCUCACUGCAACCUCUGCCUCCCAGGUUCAAGCAAUUCUCCUGCCUCAGCCUCCCGAGUAGCUGGGACUACAGGCACGCAAUGCCACGCCCGGCUCAUUUUUUGUAUUUUAGUGGAGGUGGGGUUUCACUGUGUUGCCCAGGCUGGUCGCGAACUUCUGAGCUCAGGCAAUCCACCCGCCUCAGCCUCCCAAAGUGCUGGGAUUACACGCCGUGAGCCACCGCACCUGGCCCCUGGGACCAUUCUCACACAGAGUUAUUAUUAAAUAAGAAUUAGCAAAGUUCAGAAAGUCAUAUAUUUCAAGUGCUUUCUAAUUCAAAGUGCUUCUCUAUAUUCAAGUACUAUGGUAUCAUUUCAAACAUAGCAAAUUAUAAAAGUUCUGUAAUUUCCUAAAUAUAAAUGUACUUUGUGAAAGGCUUCUGUGACACACAUAAAAGACAUAUUUGAUGUACCAGUUGCUUUGCUGUGGCUUUUAAGUAAAGAAUAAAAAGUGUCAUAGAAGGAAGGCUGUUUUUCUUCUCUGUAGUAGAAUACAGUCCUUCCCUGCCCAGAUGAUGGUUACUGUAGAGUUUUCACUGUUCAGAUAUAGAAAAAGCCAAAGAAAGAACCUUAGCAGACAGAAGAGUUUGUGUAGCCUGAUCAAAGAUGUCAGUAGCGUAAGAAGAGAAAGAGAUCAAGGGAGAAGAAGUGGCAGGAUAAAGUAUCAGAGAAUACAGGGCAUAGGAAGAAACACUGCAGAAAAAACCAGAAGUCAAAAGCAGCAUAAGAACAGUUAGUUUAGAAAGAUUAACAAAGUGAUUUAUAAAGAUUUCCAGCAAAGCCCUAUAAAGUCUAACAAUAGGGCACUAAGAUGUUUGCAGAGAAGCAUUUUAAAUAUACAUAAGAAUUCAGAGACAGAUGUUUAAAGUGCAAAACAUUAAGUUCAGAUCCUGAACAUUAAGUUCAGGAUCAAAGAAGAUGCAUGAGACAACAGAGUAUGGCAGAUAAUGACAAAACAGAAAAUGAGAAUGAGAUGCUGCUCUAGUUUCCCAUUGCACUCCAACCCUGUAUCCUAGCUAAGGAAAGAUUCUAUUCAUGUUUA